Molecule: long non-coding RNA, 546 nt
Organism: Perca fluviatilis (European perch)
Lineage: Eukaryota; Metazoa; Chordata; Actinopteri; Perciformes; Percidae
Exons: 3
Source: RefSeq, a predicted model, not a curated record
CCUUCCAGUGCAGAUUUGUGCAAAGAAUCUAUAUAAUAACAGUUCUGCAAUUACUUUAACGUGGCUAUAGCUCAUACAUGAAUGCUGAAGAUUUAAGAAAAAGUGACUUUAAAAGAGAGCGUUGGUGAGGAAUAUGGAUAUGAAUGAAACAAAGUUACAAUGACUGUCUCCCCUGCACCACCAUUCACUUCUCCAGUCAGGCCUGCCACUGGGGGGGAAGAGGCUGGCACAACCUGAGAUUUUCAUAGAGAAAAGGCCGCCACCCAACGGUGAUCUUGAAUCAUAGAGAGGCUGCAUCCAGGCAAGUCUCUGAUGGAUCUCAGAACCAUGGUGGCCCCUGUGAGAAGUCCCCUGGCUGAAAGAAAUCUGCUCCUGAGAAGGGAAUAAAGCAAGUUUUGGGACUAUUUCUUUCUCUUGACAAAAAACGCCCUGUAUUUACUCGUUGACCGCAACACAUAAAUAAUUUCCUAUGAAAUGUUAAGCAGCUUAUAACAACCCAUAUUCACAUUUGUUGUUAUGCGGCGACCUCUAGAGGCCGUAGUUAUU